RNAcentral lists this ribosomal RNA (257 nucleotides) under uncultured prokaryote. Its description in RNAcentral is "partial 16S ribosomal RNA". It matches the Rfam family "Bacterial small subunit ribosomal RNA", at positions 524 to 780 of the family's 1533-position model. The record is from RNAcentral.
UACGGAGGAUGCAAGCGUUAUCCGGAUUUAUUGGGUUUAAAGGGUGCGCAGGUUGUUUGAUAAGUCAGUGGUGAAAGUCUGUCGCUUAACGGUAGGAUUGCCAUUGAUACUGUUAGACUUGAAUAUGGAUGAGGUAGGCGGAAUGUGUAGUGUAGCGGUGAAAUGAAUAAAUAUUACACAGAACACCGAUUGCGAAGGCAGCUUACUAAUCCAUCAUUGACGCUGAGACACGAAAGCGUGGGGAUCAAACAGGAUUA